ACUCCUACGGGAGGCAGCAGUGGGAAUAUUGCACAAUGGGGAAGCCAUCGAUGCAGCCAUGCCGCGCUGUGUGAAGAAGGCCAAUUCGGGCUUGGUUAAGACACUUUUCAGUAGGGAGGAAGGUAGUGUAGUUAACACCUGCAUUAUUUGACGUUACCUACAGAAGAAGCACCGGCUAACUCCGUGCCAGCAGCCGCGGUAAUACGGAGGGUGCGAGCGUUAAUCGGAAUUACUGGGCGUAAAGCGCAUGCAGGCGGCCUGUUAAGUCAGAUGUGAAAGCCCGGGC
Molecule: ribosomal RNA, 286 nt
Filed under: uncultured bacterium
Lineage: Bacteria
Description: partial 16S ribosomal RNA
Rfam family: Bacterial small subunit ribosomal RNA
Source: RNAcentral